UACGGAGGGCGCGAGCGUUAAUCGGAAUUACUGGGCGUAAAGCGCGCGUAGGCUGUUGUGUAAGUUGGGGGUGAAAUCCCACGGCUCAACCGUGGAACAGCCCUUGAUACUGCGCGACCUGAAUCCGGGAGAGGGUGGCGGAAUUCCAGGUGUAGGAGUGAAAUCCGUAGAUAUCUGGAGGAACAUCAGUGGCGAAGGCGGCCACCUGGACCGGUAUUGACGCUGAGGCGCGAAAGCGUGGGGAGCAAACAGG
Molecule: ribosomal RNA, 253 nt
Filed under: uncultured bacterium
Lineage: Bacteria
Description: partial 16S ribosomal RNA
Rfam family: Bacterial small subunit ribosomal RNA
Source: RNAcentral